Molecule: ribosomal RNA, 497 nt
Filed under: uncultured bacterium
Lineage: Bacteria
Description: partial 16S ribosomal RNA
Rfam family: Bacterial small subunit ribosomal RNA
Source: RNAcentral
GAUGAACGCUGGCGGCGUGCCUAAUACAUGCGAGUCGAGCGAACGGACGAGAAGCUUGCUUCUCUGAUGUUAGCGGCGGACGGGUGAGUAACACGUGGAUAACCUACCUAUAAGACUGGGAUAACUUCGGGAAACCGGAGCUAAUACCGGAUAAUAUUUUGAACCGCAUGGUUCAAAAGUGAAAGACGGUCUUGCUGUCACUUAUAGAUGGAUCCGCGCUGCAUUAGCUAGUUGGUAAGGUAACGGCUUACCAAGGCAACGAUGCAUAGCCGACCUGAGAGGGUGAUCGGCCACACUGGAACUGAGACACGGUCCAGACUCCUACGGGAGGCAGCAGUAGGGAAUCUUCCGCAAUGGGCGAAAGCCUGACGGAGCAACGCCGCGUGAGUGAUGAAGGUCUUCGGAUCGUAGAACUCUGUUAUUAGGGAAGAACAUAUGUGUAAGUAACUGUGCACAUCUUGACGGUACCUAAUCAGAAAGCCACGGCUAACUACGUG